Molecule: ribosomal RNA, 429 nt
Filed under: Chloroflexota bacterium
Lineage: Bacteria; Bacillati; Chloroflexota
Description: Chloroflexi bacterium partial 16S ribosomal RNA
Rfam family: Bacterial small subunit ribosomal RNA
Source: RNAcentral
UGGGGAAUAUUGCACAAUGGGCGCAAGCCUGAUGCAGCCAUGCCGCGUGUGUGAAGAAGGCCUUCGGGUUGUAAAGCACUUUCAGCGGGGAGGAAGGCGUUAAGGUUAAUAACCUCGGCGAUUGACGUUACCCGCAGAAGAAGCACCGGCUAACUCCGUUCCAGCAGCCGCGGUAAUACGGAGGGUGCAAGCGUUAAUCGGAAUUAUUGGGCGUAAAGCGCACGCAGGCGGUUUGCUAAGUCAGAUGUGAAAUCUCCGGGCUCAACCUGGGAACUGCAUCUGAUACUGGCAAGCUUGAGUCACGUAGCUGGGGGUAGAAUUCCAGGUGUGGCGGUGAAAUGCGUAGAGAUCUGGAGGAAUACCGGUGGCGAAGGCAGCCCCCAGGACGAAUACUGACGCUCAGGUGCGAACGCGUGAGGAGCAAACAGG